Molecule: ribosomal RNA, 448 nt
Filed under: uncultured bacterium
Lineage: Bacteria
Description: bacterial SSU rRNA
Rfam family: Bacterial small subunit ribosomal RNA
Source: RNAcentral
GUACCAGACUCCUACGGGAGGCAGCAGUGGGGGAUAUUGCACAAUGGGGGGAACCCUGAUGCAGCGACGCCGCGUGGGUGAAGAAGUCUUUCGGUAUGUAAAGCCCUAUCGGCAGGGAAGAAUUUAGACGGUACCUGACUAAGAAGCCCCGGCUAACUACGUGCCAGCAGCCGCGGUAAUACGUAGGGGGCAAGCGUUAUCCGGAUUCACUGGGUGUAAAGGGAGCGUAGACGGCCAUGCAAGCCUGGAGUGAAAGCCCGGGGCCCAACCCCGGGACUGCUCUGGGAACUGUGCGGCUGGAGUGCGGGAGGGGCAGGCGGAAUUCCUGGUGUAGCGGUGAAAUGCGUAGAUAUCAGGAGGAACACCGGCGGCGAAGGCGGCCUGCUGGACCGCGACUGACGUUGAGGCCCGAAGGCGUGGGGAGCAAACAGGAUUAGAUACCCUAGUA